RNAcentral lists this unclassified non-coding RNA (313 nucleotides) under plant metagenome. Its description in RNAcentral is "partial contains 5.8S ribosomal RNA, internal transcribed spacer 2, and large subunit ribosomal RNA". The stretch from base 1 to 105 matches the Rfam family "5.8S ribosomal RNA", at positions 50 to 154 of the family's 154-position model. The record is from RNAcentral.
GAAAUGCGAUAAUUAAUGUGAAUUGUAGAAUUCAGUGAAUCAUCGAGUCUUUGAACGCACAUUGCGCCCCCUGGUAUUCCGGGGGGCAUGCCUGUCCGAGCGUCAUUGCUGCCCUCAAGCACGGCUUGUGUGUUGGGCUUCCGUCCCUGGCAACGGGGACGGGCCCAAAAGGCAGUGGCGGCACCAUGUCUGGUCCUCGAGCGUAUGGGGCUUUGUCACCCGCUCCCGUAGGUCCAGCUGGCAGCUAGCCUCGCAACCAAUCUUUUAACCAGGUUGACCUCGGAUCAGGUAGGGAUACCCGCUGAACUUAAGC